GUCGCUUCUCGGCUCUCUGAGCUAAUAUCAUGUGUAGUAUCUGUUCUUUGCAGUGUAAUUUCUGCAACGGUCUCUAAACUGAGACCAAUGAAAUUACCUGUAUUUUUCACCUCCGGACGGGUGCUGUGAGCUUGCUCAACCCCGUCCACGGGUCGGCCUCGUAUUGCAUUACCUCGAGGAUUGGCCCAUUAUGU
This 194-nucleotide small nuclear RNA is filed under the name Schistosoma margrebowiei. Its description in RNAcentral is "U2 spliceosomal RNA". It matches the Rfam family "U2 spliceosomal RNA". Rfam says of the family: U2 is a small nuclear RNA (snRNA) component of the spliceosome (involved in pre-mRNA splicing). Lineage: Eukaryota; Metazoa; Platyhelminthes; Trematoda; Strigeidida; Schistosomatidae. The record is from Rfam by way of RNAcentral.